UGGGGAAUAUUGCACAAUGGGCGCAAGCCUGAUGCAGCCAUGCCGCGUGUAUGAAGAAGGCCUUCGGGUUGUAAAGUACUUUCAGUCGGGAGGAAGGUGGUAAGGUUAAUAACCUUAUCAAUUGACGUUACCGACAGAAGAAGCACCGGCUAACUCCGUGCCAGCAGCCGCGGUAAUACGGAGGGUGCAAGCGUUAAUCGGAAUUACUGGGCGUAAAGCGCACGCAGGCGGUUGAUUGAGUCAGAUGUGAAAUCCCCGGGCUUAACCCGGGAAUUGCAUCUGAUACUGGUCAGCUAGAGUCUUGUAGAGGGGGGUAGAAUUCCAUGUGUAGCGGUGAAAUGCGUAGAGAUGUGGAGGAAUACCGGUGGCGAAGGCGGCCCCCUGGACAAAGACUGACGCUCAGGUGCGAAAGCGUGGGGAGCAAAUAGG
RNAcentral lists this ribosomal RNA (429 nucleotides) under Chloroflexota bacterium. RNAcentral describes it as "Chloroflexi bacterium partial 16S ribosomal RNA". It matches the Rfam family "Bacterial small subunit ribosomal RNA", at positions 355 to 776 of the family's 1533-position model. The record is from RNAcentral. Lineage: Bacteria; Bacillati; Chloroflexota.